Unclassified non-coding RNA from Papio anubis (olive baboon), 148 nucleotides. It matches the Rfam family "Metazoan signal recognition particle RNA". From Rfam's summary of the family: The signal recognition particle (SRP) is a universally conserved ribonucleoprotein. It is involved in the co-translational targeting of proteins to membranes. The record is from Ensembl. Lineage: Eukaryota; Metazoa; Chordata; Mammalia; Primates; Cercopithecidae.
GCUGGGCGUGGUGGCGCACACCUGUAAUCCCAGCUACUGGGGAGGCUGAGACACAAGAAUGGCUUGAACCUGGGAGGUGGAGGGUGCAGUGAGCUGAGAUCGCACCACUGCACUCCAGCCUAGGUGACAGAGUGAGACUCUGUCUCAA